ACAAGUGUCUCUGUGUCUAUGUCUGUCCAUCCUGUAGAGAGCUGACUCUCCAUGAGCCUCCACAGACCUGCUGGUCUGGGUUGUGUGGUUAUCCCUCUCUGGUCACUCAGGUCCACAUCCUGAUGGCUAACGGUCUCGCAGGACAAGACUCUGAUGGAGUGUCGGACCCCUACGUGAUAAUUCGUUGUGAAGGGGAGAAAGUUCGUUCUCCGGUCCAUAAAGACACCCGAAGCCCCAACUUCGACACCAAGGGGCUCUUCUACAGGAAGAAGGCCAACAAGCCAGUCACCAUCGAGAUCUACAACCACAACGUGCUGAUGGACUC
Molecule: non-coding RNA, 325 nt
Organism: Plectropomus leopardus (leopard coralgrouper)
Lineage: Eukaryota; Metazoa; Chordata; Actinopteri; Perciformes; Serranidae
Source: RefSeq, a predicted model, not a curated record